AACAAUAAUUAAAUAAGUCUUUCUACGUACGUUUACUUUUGGUACAAAAGUAUAUUUUGAUGGUAAUACUUUUGUACUUUUACUUAAGUUUUUGAAUGCAGGACUUUUACUAACAGAGUAUUUCUACACUGUAGUAUUACUACUUUUACAUCUUCCACCACUGCACCUGAAUACAUACACAAAAACACAUUCCUUCUACGUCAUGACGUUUCCUGGUUAUUUCCCGAGCACCUGAAGGCAGCACACUGUGUCUCGGGGUCAGCAGGGGGAGCUCAUGUUUCACGUCUGAAGGCUCAUGUUGGUCCAGUUGCAGUUCCCUGAUGUAGAAGGGCCUUCAGCAGCUGUUUAGCUUUACACAUUGAACACGGUAUUUUACAGCAUUACAUGUUUCUCAGCCUUGAGCUCCUCACAUUGUUCCAAGUGGCAGAGAAUCAAAAUGCCACAAGCCUCGCACAUUUUAUCUUGUAUUUCCUUAAAUCCACGAGGAAUAAUACGUUGAUAUUAAUCUAGGCAGAGAAUAAGCUUGGAUGUCAGAGGCGUUCUGUCCUGACAAUAGAUGCAACAAUGCGUCAGUGUGACUCCACUGAUAAGCUGCUGCUCAGCGAGGCUGAAUUGAUCCCGCAGCAGAAACACUUUCGAUGUUUUCCUGUGGGGUUACAACACACAGGUUCCUCUUUCUCUGCCUGACACAAAACAACACUUUGUGCCGCUCUGCUCCAUAUAAUAAAUGGCCACAGUCUAAAGUGGUUAGUUACAGUGUUGCUGUGGAAAGGUCAACGAUCCUGUGAUGUGGAUCGCAGUGUAUUAUCCUCAUUGUGCUCAGUGAGAGAUGAAGUGCAGGCAGGGAGCACCGCUGUCUCAGUUUCGUCAAACUGUGACUCGUUUCGGAUUAAACAACAAGACGUCCACACAGCCUACUGUUGUUUGGAUCAGCUGCAACUGGGUUCAUCGCACUCACUGUGUGGCGGAGCCGCGUGUCGUGCAUGGCAGCAGCUCAUCUCACUGAAGCUUCACGAUAAUGUGGAGGUCAAACAC
Molecule: long non-coding RNA, 1035 nt
Filed under: Cottoperca gobio
Lineage: Eukaryota; Metazoa; Chordata; Actinopteri; Perciformes; Bovichtidae
Description: lncRNA (ENSCGOG00000004771.1)
Source: RNAcentral